RNAcentral lists this small RNA (307 nucleotides) under Pongo abelii (Sumatran orangutan). RNAcentral's name for it is "retained intron". Lineage: Eukaryota; Metazoa; Chordata; Mammalia; Primates; Hominidae. The record is from RNAcentral.
CCUGUUCCCAUGGGUUCUCCACCCACCCGAAACAAGCACACACCGGGACAGACAAUCGCCGGUGAUAAGGAGGUGUUCAUUUGCAUGAUGGCAUUUGUGCAUAAAAUGGGACUGCUCCAGAAGUGGUUCUACUGCCCUGUCUUCACCCUAGUGCGGCAAGCCGAUGGAACAGAGCACCUGCAUUGACUGCCAUGCGCCGAUUGGAGGCAUUAACCACAAACCUCGGGACGGCUUUCGUCUGGUCAAUGACAGGGCAGACAGAACACAGACCGGCCAUGUGCUAGGCGACCCGCAGCAGAGAGACGUG